This 378-nucleotide ribosomal RNA is filed under the name uncultured eukaryote. Its description in RNAcentral is "partial 18S ribosomal RNA". It matches the Rfam family "Eukaryotic small subunit ribosomal RNA", at positions 592 to 976 of the family's 1831-position model. The record is from RNAcentral.
CAAUAGCGUAUAUUAAAGUUGUUGCAGUUAAAAAGCUCGUAGUUGGAUUUGUGGUUCGUCCCGCCGGCUGGGUCAUUGACUUUUGCUGUGCUGGUCGUCCAUCCUUGGGUGGAAUCUGCGUGGCAUUAGGUUGUCGCGCAGGGGAUGCCCAUCGUUUACUGUGAAAAAAUUAGAGUGUUCAAAGCAGGCUUAUGCCGUUGAAUAUAUUAGCAUGGAAUAAUGAUAUAGGACCUUGGUACUAUUUUGUUGGUUUGCGCACUGAGGUAAUGAUUAAUAGGGACAGUUGGGGGUAUUCGUAUUCCAUUGUAAGAGGUGAAAUUCUUGGAUUUUUGGAAGACGAACUACUGCGAAAGCAUUUACCAAGGAUGUUUUCAUUAA